UUGACCUCGAAUCAGGUAGGGAUACCCGCUGAACUUAAGCAUAUCAAUAAGCGGAGGAAAAGAAACCAACCGGGAUUACCUCAGUAACGGCGAGUGAAGCGGUAACAGCUCAAAUUUGAAAUCUGGCUCCUGCGGAGUCCGAGUUGUAAUUUGUAGAAGAUGCUUUGGGAGGUAGGGCCGGCCUAAGUUCCUUGGAACAGGACAUCAGAGAGGGUGAGAAUCCCGUAUGUGGCCGCGGCCUACGCCCGUGUAAAGCUCUUUCGACGAGUCGAGUUGUUUGGGAAUGCAGCUCAAAAUGGGUGGUAAAUUUCAUCUAAAGCUAAAUAUUGGCCAGAGACCGAUAGCGCACAAGUAGAGUGAUCGAAAGAUGAAAAGCACUUUGGAAAGAGAGUUAAACAGUACGUGAAAUUGUUGAAAGGGAAGCGCUUGCACCCAGACUUGGGCGUCGUCGAUCAUCCGAGGUUCUCCUCGGUGCACUCGGCGAUGCACAGGCCAGCAUCGGUUUGGAUGGUUGGAGAAAGGCGCUAGGAACGUAGCUCUCUUCGGGGAGUGUUAUAGCCUAGAGCGUAAUGCAGCCCAUCCGGACCGAGGACCGCGCCUUCGGGCUAGGAUGCUGGCGUAAUGGUUGCAAGCGACCCGUCUUGAAACACGGACCAAGGAGUCUAACAUCUAUGCGAGUGUUUGGGCGUUAAACCCAUACGCGGAAUGAAAGUGAACGUAGGUGAGAACCCGUUAGGGUGCAUCAUCGACCG
RNAcentral lists this ribosomal RNA (752 nucleotides) under Golovinomyces sp. LC076839. RNAcentral describes it as "eukaryotic LSU rRNA". It matches the Rfam family "Eukaryotic large subunit ribosomal RNA", at positions 1 to 767 of the family's 3401-position model. Lineage: Eukaryota; Fungi; Ascomycota; Leotiomycetes; Helotiales; Erysiphaceae. The record is from RNAcentral. RNAcentral also lists the same sequence under 1 other name.